RNAcentral lists this ribosomal RNA (406 nucleotides) under uncultured bacterium. RNAcentral's name for it is "partial 16S ribosomal RNA". It matches the Rfam family "Bacterial small subunit ribosomal RNA", at positions 30 to 526 of the family's 1533-position model. The record is from RNAcentral.
AUUGAACGCUGGCGGCAGGCCUAACACAUGCAAGUCGAACGAGUGGCGGACGGGUGAGUAAUGUCUGGGACACUGCCUUAUGGAUGGGGAUAACUACUGGAAACGGUAGCUAAUACCGCAUACCAUCGGAUGUGCCCAGAUGGGAUUAGCUAGUAGGUGGGGUAAAGGCUCACCUAGGCCACGAUCCCUAGCUGGUAUGAGAGGAGGACCGGCCACACGGGAACUGAGACACGGUCCAGACUCCUACGGGAGGCAGCAGUGGGGAAUAUUGCACAAUGGGCGAAAGCCUGAUGCAGCCAUGCCGCGUGUAUGAAGAAGGCCUUCGGGUUGUAAAGUACUUUCAGCGGGGAGGCGUUACCCGCAGAAGAAGCCCCGGCUAACUCCGUGCCAGCAGCCGCGGUAAUAC